CAUCUAAUUGUGCAGGGUUGAGAGUGGUGUUUAUACUUUGGAGUUCAUGAAGAAUUGGAAGGGGACAGACGUCGCCAAAGAGCUCAAUUCAGCUUGCAUUGACAAGGUUAGGGCCAACAUUCUACUGGACAUUCUUACCAUCAGAGAUAAUGUAGCGGCACUUCCAGAUUUCGUCAAACAACUUGUGAGGCAAUACGAGGAUGGAGUAGUCGUGAAGAAAUGAAGACUCUCUUAUUACCUUUAUUUCAUCAUUUACAUAAUUAUAUCGAACUUGUUUUCACUUUCGGAAAAAGUAUUGACCAUUCUAUGUAAUAAAUACGACAAUUUGCUUCAUUUUAUGUUCAAUCUCUUCAUA
Aegilops tauschii subsp. strangulata is the source of this 355-nucleotide non-coding RNA. The record is from RefSeq and is a predicted model, not a curated record. NCBI's taxonomy places the organism in Eukaryota, Viridiplantae, Streptophyta, Magnoliopsida, Poales, Poaceae.